UGCUGCAUGGCUGUCAUCAGCUCGUGUCGUGAGAUGUUGGGUUAAGUCCCGCAACGAGCGCAACCCUUUGUCUUUAAUUUGCCAUCAUUUAGUUGGGCACUUUAAAGAGACUGCCGGUGUUAAGCCGGAGGAAGGUGGGGAUGACGUCAAGUCCUCAUGGCCUUUAUGCCCAGGGCUACACACGUGCUACAAUGGGCGGUACAAAGAGAAGCAACCUCGCGAGGGUGAGCAAAUCUCAAAAAGCCGUUCUCAGUUCGGAUUGAAGUCUGCAACUCGACUUCAUGAAGUCGGAAUCGCUAGUAAUCGCGGAUCAGCAUGCCGCGGUGAAUACGUUCCCGGGCCUU
RNAcentral lists this ribosomal RNA (344 nucleotides) under uncultured Syntrophaceae bacterium. RNAcentral's name for it is "bacterial SSU rRNA". It matches the Rfam family "Bacterial small subunit ribosomal RNA", at positions 1039 to 1382 of the family's 1533-position model. Lineage: Bacteria; Pseudomonadati; Thermodesulfobacteriota; Syntrophia; Syntrophales; Syntrophaceae. The record is from RNAcentral.